Molecule: long non-coding RNA, 980 nt
Organism: Nicotiana tabacum (common tobacco)
Lineage: Eukaryota; Viridiplantae; Streptophyta; Magnoliopsida; Solanales; Solanaceae
Source: RefSeq, a predicted model, not a curated record
UCUCCGCCGUAGCUCCUUCGAUUCUCCGGCACCGGGAAAAAUUCACACGAAAAAGGAGAGAACGCAAAUGGCGAUUAAGCCAUAUAUGAGAUCGAUUUUGAUUGUUGCUAUUGCUUUCUUAUCUGUUUUACCAGCUACUCUCUGUAUCGAAGAUAAAUGUGCUGCUUGUACUGCCAUUGCUAAAUUGUCCUACCUCAAUCUCUAGGAAUAAAAUGAAGAAAAGCAAAUCAUCCUAGCUGUCUGCCAUGAUAUUAUCUCACCCAAGGUUUAAAAUGGAGAUAUUAGGUUCUUCUAGCGUGAUUUGUAAAAUUGGAUACUUAUAUAUGACUGUGCAGUGAGAACUUCUUCUUACAAGGAAAGACAGAUGAAGUUGUGUUAGUCAAGAUUGAUGGUUUUGAAAUACGGAUGGAAACAUGUCGAAGGAACUCGGCAGAAUGACCCCGUAACUUUGGGAGAAAAGGGUGUUGAUAGGUUAUAUGUAUCCCUGUUAUGUUUUGAUAAUCUAACAAACUUAAUGAUAAGAACCAGAUAAGCAAAUUGUUACACAUCUUCAAGUACUUAAAGAACAACAAGUCUCAAGUCAGGGACGUGGUUCAACUCUUCAGAGUCAAAGAAAUAACAGAGGGAACAGAUGACCACCAGUUCCCUUGGUGACUGUACAAGUCAACUCUCCACAGAUGUAAAGUUGCUGCUUGCACACGAAACAGUGCAAAAACAGUGCAACAGUCAACUUUAUGGGGAAUGCCCUUUACCUAACUUGCUUGCAUCAUUCAAGUGAUGUCACAAAUAAAUUAUUAACAUCAAGCAAAAGUAAAACAAAACACUUGCACAUUCAAGAAUCGAUCAAGCAUUCUCUCAAGUUUGUGUCAAUCUUGCAAGUGAUUCUCAAGGGCAUCAAGAACAAAGAACAACGUAACGAAGGACCAGUUUCCUGUAUUGAGUCAUUACAUGUCCUAAGUUGUGUUGCACCUUUAUUAAAA